Molecule: ribosomal RNA, 506 nt
Filed under: uncultured bacterium
Lineage: Bacteria
Description: partial 16S ribosomal RNA
Rfam family: Bacterial small subunit ribosomal RNA
Source: RNAcentral
GAUGAACGCUAGCUACAGGCUUAACACAUGCAAGUCGAGGGGUAACGAGAGGGAAGCUUGCUUUCCUUGUCGACGACCGGCGCACGGGUGAGUAACGCGUAUCCAACCUGCCCCCAACUAAGGAAUAACCUUGCGAAAGUAAGACUAAUACCCUAUAAUUUCCUCAGAUGACAUCUGACGAGGAAUAAAGAUUUAUCGGUUGUGGAUGGGGAUGCGUCUGAUUAGCUUGUUGGCGGGGUAACGGCACACCAAGGCAACGAUCAGUAGGGGUUCUGAGAGGAAGGUCCCCCACAUUGGAACUGAGACACGGGCCAAACUCCUACGGGAGGCAGCAGUGAGGAAUAUUGGUCAAUGGGCGGAAGCCUGAACCAGCCAAGUAGCGUGCAGGAUGACGGCCCUAUGGGUUGUAAACUGCUUUUAUACAGGAAUAAAGUUAGCCACGUGUGGUUAUUUGUAGGUACUGUAUGAACAAGGACCGGCUAAUUCCGUGCCAGCAGCCGCCGUAA